CCGACGAUUGAUGCUGGGGCCGAUGAACGAGUUUUUCAAUUGGCCAUUGGAGGCUCGUGAUGCAGUCUGGAAGAUGUUCCUGGUAAGUCAAAGAUAUUUAAUUUUUAAAUUCGUGAUAGGUUUGUAUUCUAUUUAUUAAUACACGGUUGCUUCUACUUGCAGAGGUACUAUCAAUUCGAGACUCCUCAGGAUAAGAAAGCUGGCCAUCGGACCUUCGAGAAGG
This 223-nucleotide long non-coding RNA is filed under the name Elaeis guineensis (African oil palm). RNAcentral describes it as "long non-coding RNA (EGUI_LNC073588)". The record is from RNAcentral. Lineage: Eukaryota; Viridiplantae; Streptophyta; Magnoliopsida; Arecales; Arecaceae.